Molecule: unclassified non-coding RNA, 843 nt
Filed under: Hevea brasiliensis (rubber tree)
Lineage: Eukaryota; Viridiplantae; Streptophyta; Magnoliopsida; Malpighiales; Euphorbiaceae
Source: RNAcentral
UUUGAUUGAUCGCUUAUUGUCUGAAGAUGCAAGUGGAAAAAAUCUGACAGUAGUUCCUAUUGUUGGAAUGGGCGGCCUGGGUAAGACAACACUUGCUAAAGCCGUUUACAAUGAUAAGAGAGUGCAGAAACAUUUUGGUUUGACAGCUUGGUUUUGUAUAUCUGAGACAUAUGAUGCUUUCAGAAUAACAAAAGGUUUACUUCUAGAAAUUGGCUCAACUGACUUGAAGGCUGAUGACAAUCUUAAUCAGCUACAAGUCAAAUUGAAGGAAAAGCUGAAUGGAAAAAGGUUUCUUGUUGUCCUUGAUGAUGUGUGGAAUGAUAACUAUCCUGAGUGGGAUGACUUGAGAAAUCUUUUUUUACAAGGAGAUAUAGGAAGUAAGAUCAUUGUGACGACACGCAAAGACAGUGUUGCCUUGAUGAUGGGAAAUGAGCAAAUUAGCAUGGGCAAUUUGUCUACAGAAGCCUCUUGGUCUUUGUUUAAAAGACAUGCAUUUGAAAACAUGAAUCCUAUAGGACAUCCGGAACUCGAAGAGGUCGGAAAACAAAUUGCAGCUAAGUGCAAAGGACUGCCCUUAGCUCUGAAGACGCUAGCUGGCAUGUUACGCUCCAAAUCAGAGGUUGAAGAGUGGAAACGUAUUUUGAGAAGUGAAAUAUGGGAGCUGCCACACAAUGACAUAUUACCAGCGUUGAUGUUGAGCUACAAUGAUCUUCCCGCACAUUUAAAACAAUGUUUUUCCUAUUGUGCAAUAUUUCCUAAAGAUUAUCCAUUUAGGAAAGAACAAGUUAUUCAUCUAUGGAUUGCCAAUGGUCUCGUACCAGUGAAAGAUGAAAUAAAUCAAGA